CACGUAUUUAGCCGUCACUUCUUCUGUUGGUACCGUCAUUUUUUUCUUCCCAACUGAAAGCACUUUACAUUCCGAAAAACGUCAUCGUGCACACAGAAUUGCUGGGUCAGACUCUUGGUCCAUUGUCCAAUAUUCCCCACUGCUGCCUCCCGUAGGAGUAAGGGCCGUGUCUCAGUCCCCUUGUGGCCGUUCACCCUCUCAGGCCGGCUACCCAUCAUCGCCUUGGUGAGCCGUUACCUCUCCAACUAGCUAAUGGGACGCAAAGCUCUCUCACAGCGCGUAUAGCUUUCAUAAUUCUAAGAUGCCUUAAAAUCAUAAUAUCAGGUAUUAGCAUUCGUUUCCAAAUGUUGUCCCUAGCUGUGAGGCAAGUUCUUUACGCGUUACUCACCCGUCCGCCACCCAAAUCUAAAGUUAAAAACCCAAAUUCAAGUUGACUUGCAUGUGUUAAGCAUUCUGUCAGCGUUCAUCCUGAGCCAGGAUCAAACU
Molecule: ribosomal RNA, 486 nt
Filed under: uncultured Fusobacterium sp.
Lineage: Bacteria; Fusobacteriati; Fusobacteriota; Fusobacteriia; Fusobacteriales; Fusobacteriaceae
Description: partial 16S ribosomal RNA
Source: RNAcentral